Molecule: ribosomal RNA, 162 nt
Filed under: Triticum aestivum (bread wheat)
Lineage: Eukaryota; Viridiplantae; Streptophyta; Magnoliopsida; Poales; Poaceae
Description: partial small subunit ribosomal RNA
Source: RNAcentral
AUGGGGACGCCGCAGCAGAGGUACCAGCAUCACAGGGUGCGGCCGAGCGACGACGAUGACUACGCCCGGCACUGGUACGCCGAACGCGACAUCGACCGGAAGGCCUCCGAGUUCAUCGACAAGGUCCACCGCCGGAUGCUCGCCAAUGAGCAGGACGGAUAG